UACGGAGGGUGCGAGCGUUGUUCGGAAUCACUGGGCGUAAAGCGCGCGUAGGCGGACCUGCAAGUCGGGGGUGAAAGCCCGAGGCUCAACCUCGGAACUGCCUUCGAUACUGCGGGUCUCGAGUCCGGGAGAGGUGAGUGGAAUUCCUAGUGUAGAGGUGAAAUUCGUAGAUAUUAGGAAGAACACCAGUGGCGAAGGCGGCUCACUGGCCCGGUACUGACGCUGAGGCGCGAAAGCGUGGGGAGCAAACAGG
Molecule: ribosomal RNA, 253 nt
Filed under: uncultured bacterium
Lineage: Bacteria
Description: partial 16S ribosomal RNA
Rfam family: Bacterial small subunit ribosomal RNA
Source: RNAcentral